AAACUCAAAUGAAUUGACGGGGACCCGCACAAGCGGUGGAUGAUGUGGAUUAAUUCGAUGCAACGCGAAAACCUUACCUACCCUUGACAUGUCUGGAAUCCUUGAGAGAUCAGGGAGUGCCUUCGGGAGCCAGAACACAGGUGCUGCAUGGCUGUCGUCAGCUCGUGUCGUGAGAUGUUGGGUUAAGUCCCGCAACGAGCGCAACCCUUGCCACUAAUUGCCAUCAUUGAGUUGGGCACUUUAGUGGACUGCCGGUGACAAACCGGAGGAAGGUGGGGAUGACGUCAAGUCCUCGUGGCCCUUACUGGGUAGGGCUUCACACGUCAUACAAUGGUCGGUUACAGAGGGUUGCCAAGCCGCGAGGUGGAGCUUAAUCC
RNAcentral lists this ribosomal RNA (377 nucleotides) under uncultured Azoarcus sp. RNAcentral describes it as "bacterial SSU rRNA". It matches the Rfam family "Bacterial small subunit ribosomal RNA", at positions 897 to 1275 of the family's 1533-position model. The record is from RNAcentral. Lineage: Bacteria; Pseudomonadati; Pseudomonadota; Betaproteobacteria; Rhodocyclales; Zoogloeaceae.